This is a long non-coding RNA of Leguminivora glycinivorella, 1016 nucleotides long. RefSeq lists it as uncharacterized. The record is from RefSeq and is a predicted model, not a curated record. The transcript is spliced from 5 exons. Lineage: Eukaryota; Metazoa; Arthropoda; Insecta; Lepidoptera; Tortricidae.
AGCAGUCAAGUUCUGAACCCGGCAUUAUCGUAUAUUUAUUGAAAGUUUUUUUCAAAACACCUUUAAAGUCGAACAUCGCCUAGCUGCCUUCUGAAAUUAAACAAAAAAAUGGUGCUGUUUUCCGUCCUAAUACUAAACGUUUUCACUACAAUAUACGCUCUUGAAAACGAUGUCAAUGUUGAAGACCAGUCUUCUCGCAUUUGGUACGGCAUUCGUGCCAACAUAACGGACGCUCCAUACUUCGCAUCCAUUAAACAUUGUGGUGCGGCCAUCAUCUCUGAUCGUUGGCUGGUCACGGCGGCUCACUGCGUAACAUUGAAAUUCAUGAAAUUCAAAAUUAAACUAGCAUAUAUCGGAGGAGACAGCAUUGAAACCAGCAAAGUUUACACCAUAGAUGACGUGAUUGUCCAUCCGAAAUACUCGUUUGUUUCACAAUUCGAUCUUCCCUAUAAAUGAUGUUGCUCUCAUACACUUGUCAAAGUCGUUGAAGUUCAGCAAGAAAGUCCAACCUAUAACGCUCCCUGGGAGAAAUUAUCAGGUUAAUGCUGUUCAUAUUUUCGUCGGAAGGGAAAAGACCAGACGGACAAACUGACCAAAUAUUUAAUGAGUAUGAAAGUUCGUGCUCUAGACGCGGAAUCAUGUUUAUCUUAUUUGCCAGUAGAAGAACAAAGGGUUGUUAAACCAUAUUUGGAACAGAUGAAGGAAGUAACUAUAUGCACAAAACGGGUUGAGGACAUACCGGGACUAUGUCAUGGCGACUCUGGCAGCCCCCUUGUUCAGAACCAGACUCUCGUCGGUAUAGCGUCCUACAUAUCUCAUCGUAACUGCUCGCUGGCAAAGCUUGGCAUGUUCACCAACGUGGCUGUGUAUGUGGACUGGAUCGAAUCCAUUACCCUUGUAAGGCCCAAUGUACAUUAAAAUGUACAUAGUGUUGCAAUCUAAUUUGAACCUUUUAAGAAACGAUUAAAGUAGAAUUUCCAUUGUUACAUUGAUUUUUAAAACAAGCGAAAAUCUUA